This 460-nucleotide ribosomal RNA is filed under the name uncultured bacterium. RNAcentral's name for it is "partial 16S ribosomal RNA". It matches the Rfam family "Bacterial small subunit ribosomal RNA", at positions 338 to 795 of the family's 1533-position model. The record is from RNAcentral.
CCUACGGGAGGCAGCAGUGAGGAAUAUUGGUCAAUGGACGGAAGUCUGAACCAGCCAUGCCGCGUGCAGGAAGACGGCUCUAUGAGUUGUAAACUUCUUUUGUACAAGGGUAAACCUGAAUACGUGUAUUCAGCUGAAAGUACUGUACGAAUAAGGAUCGGCUAACUCCGUGCCAGCAGCCGCGGUAAUACGGAGGAUCCAAGCGUUAUCCGGAUUUAUUGGGUUUAAAGGGUGCGUAGGCGGAUUGAUAAGUUAGAGGUGAAAUUUGCGAGCUUAACUCGGGAACUGCCUCUAAUACUGUUGAUCUAGAGAGUGGAUGCGGUAGGCGGAAUGUAUGGUGUAGCGGUGAAAUGCUUAGAGAUCAUACAGAACACCGAUUGCGAAGGCAGCUUACCAAUCUAUAUCUGACGUUGAGGCACGAAAGCGUGGGGAGCAAACAGGAUUAGAUACCCGGGUAGUC